This 253-nucleotide ribosomal RNA is filed under the name uncultured bacterium. Its description in RNAcentral is "partial 16S ribosomal RNA". It matches the Rfam family "Bacterial small subunit ribosomal RNA", at positions 524 to 776 of the family's 1533-position model. The record is from RNAcentral.
UACGUAGGGUGCGAGCGUUGUCCGGAAUUAUUGGGCGUAAAGAGCUCGUAGGCGGUUUGUCACGUCUGCUGUGAAAGCCCUCGGCUCAACCGAGGAAGUGCACUCGAAACUGCGUAGCUAGAGUCCCGGAGAGGAAGGUGGAAUACUUGGUGUAGAGGUGAAAUUCGUAGAUAUCAAGUGGAACACCGGUGGCGAAGGCGGCCUUCUGGACGGUGACUGACGCUGAGACGCGAAAGCGUGGGGAGCAAACAGG